UGGAAAGCUUAGAUGAGGAAUAGUACCUUGUACAGCAUCUUUCAGAGAGUCGGAGCUAGGGUGUGAGCCGGCAGAUGUUAGUCUUGAGAACUCGCCUCGGAGCUAGAAGGUGAACCGCCUGAUCCUGGAUCAGAUGCGCUAGCUGGAUCGUCUCACCCGCGUUAAGGGGCAGAGUGAACACAGGUGAAGAACGCCUUGUGUUAACUAGGGUGGUACCACGGGAAUUAUACCUCUCGUCCCUAGC
RNAcentral lists this non-coding RNA (244 nucleotides) under Paenibacillus sp. RNAcentral's name for it is "T-box sequence". It matches the Rfam family "T-box leader". Rfam says of the family: Uncharged tRNA acts as the effector for transcription antitermination of genes in the T-box leader family. The record is from RNAcentral. Lineage: Bacteria; Bacillati; Bacillota; Bacilli; Caryophanales; Paenibacillaceae.